Molecule: transfer RNA, 89 nt
Filed under: Acholeplasmatales bacterium
Lineage: Bacteria; Bacillati; Mycoplasmatota; Mollicutes; Acholeplasmatales
Description: tRNA-Ser
Rfam family: tRNA
About the family: Transfer RNA (tRNA) molecules are approximately 80 nucleotides in length. Their secondary structure includes four short double-helical elements and three loops (D, anti-codon, and T loops).
Source: RNAcentral
GGAAGAGUAUCGAAGUGGUUAUAACGAGCCGCCCUCGAAAUGCGGUUGUCUUAACGGACACGUGAGUUCGAAUCUCAUCUCUUCCGCCA